AGAGAUGUGUGAUGACGCAUAUCAAUAAGCGGAGGAAAAGAAACUAACAUAGGAUUCCCUCAGUAACGGCGAGUGAAGCGGGAAGAGCUCAAAUUUGAAAUCUUCGAGGUUCUACCUUGACGAAUUGUAGUUUAUAGAAGUGUUUUCUGUUAGUAGGAGUGGCAAAAGUUCUUUGGAAUAGGACAUCAUAGAGGGUGAGAAUCCCGUAUUUGGUCAUUCUUCCCUAGCGUUGUGAUACACUUUCAACGAGUCGGAUUGUUUGGGAAUGCAGUCCAAAAUGGGUGGUAAAUUUCAUCUAAAGCUAAAUAUUGGCGAGAGACCGAUAGCGAACAAGUACCGUGAGGGAAAGAUGAAAAGAACUUUGAAAAGAGAGUUAAACAGUACGUGAAAUUGUCAAAAGGGAAGCGUUUGACACCAGUGUUGUUUUUCCGAAAAUCAAUUACGAAUGUUUUGUUUUUAAGAAGUUAUGACUUCAUCGGCUUGCUUCUUUCUUUACGAAACUUUCUUAAUGCACUUUUCGGUUAACAAGUCAACAUCAAUUUCUUUUGUUGUAAAAGGGUACUGAGGAAGGUGGCUUUCUUUUCGGAGAAAGUGUUUAUAGCCUUGUACCUCUGCAAUCGGAGAGAUUGAGGUCUGCUAGCGUAGAUCCUUCGGGGUUAGAUACAUUUGUGCUAAGUUAUAGCUUUUCAUAGACAACUUGUUGACUAUGUUAAGUCUUGUAGCUUACUCGCUUAUGCUAUUUUACCUACGCUUAGGAUGUUGAUAGUCACAGCGUGUAC
RNAcentral lists this ribosomal RNA (779 nucleotides) under uncultured Neocallimastigales. RNAcentral describes it as "partial large subunit ribosomal RNA". It matches the Rfam family "Eukaryotic large subunit ribosomal RNA", at positions 23 to 644 of the family's 3401-position model. The record is from RNAcentral. Lineage: Eukaryota; Fungi; Neocallimastigomycota; Neocallimastigomycetes; Neocallimastigales.